AGUGAACGCUGGCGGCGUGCUUAACACAUGCAAGUCGAACGAGAACGGGUUAUAGCUUGCUAUAAUUGUCAGCUAAGUGGCGCACGGGUGAGUAAUGUAUAGGUAAUAUGCCUCUUACUAAGGGAUAACAAAUGGAAACGUUUGCUAAUACCUUAUACUCCUUAUUAACAGAAGUUAGUAAGGGAAAGAUUUAUUGGUAAGAGAUUAGCCUGUAUUGUAUCAGUUAGUUGGUGGGGUAAUGGCUUACCAAGACUACGGCACAUAACUGGUUUGAGAGGAUGAUCAGUCACACUGGAACUGAGACACGGUCCAGACUCCUACGGGAGGCAGCAGUGGGGAAUAUUGCACAAUGGACGAAAGUCUGAUGCAGCAACGCCGCGUGGAGGAUGACACAUUUCGGUGCGUAAACUCCUUUUAUAUGAGAAGAUAAUGACGGUAUUAUAUGAAUAAGCACCGGCUAACUCCGUGCCAGCCGCCGCGGUAA
Molecule: ribosomal RNA, 484 nt
Filed under: uncultured bacterium
Lineage: Bacteria
Description: partial 16S ribosomal RNA
Rfam family: Bacterial small subunit ribosomal RNA
Source: RNAcentral